This 292-nucleotide ribosomal RNA is filed under the name uncultured bacterium. RNAcentral's name for it is "partial 16S ribosomal RNA". It matches the Rfam family "Bacterial small subunit ribosomal RNA", at positions 505 to 796 of the family's 1533-position model. The record is from RNAcentral.
GUGUCAGCAGCCGCGGUAAUACAGAGAGUGCGAACGUUGUUCGGAAUUACUGGGCUUAAAGCGCACGUAGGCGGCAUUGCAAGUGUCCGGUGAAAUCCCACGGCUCACCCGUGGAACUGCCUGGCAGACUGCAAUGCUCGAGUGUGGUAGGGGAGAGCGGAACUCCUGGUGGAGCGGUGAAAUGCGUAGAUAUCAGGAGGAACACCGGUGGCGAAGGCGGCUCUCUGGUCCACAACUGACGCUGAGGUGCGAAAGCUAGGGGAGCAAACGGGAUUAGAAACCCCUGUAGUCC